Molecule: ribosomal RNA, 250 nt
Filed under: uncultured bacterium
Lineage: Bacteria
Description: partial 16S ribosomal RNA
Rfam family: Bacterial small subunit ribosomal RNA
Source: RNAcentral
GAUGAACGCUGGCGGCGUGCCUAAUACAUGCAAGUCGAGCGAACAGAUAAGGAGCUUGCUCCUUUGACGUUAGCGGCGGACGGGUGAGUAACACGUGGGUAACUUACCUAUAAGACUGGAAUAACUCCGGGAAACCGGGGCUAAUGCCGGAUAACAUGUUGAACCGCAUGGUUCUACAGUGAAAGGCGGCUUUGCUGUCACUUAUAGAUGGACCCGCGCCGUAUUAGCUAGUUGGUGAGGUAACGGCUCA